RNAcentral lists this ribosomal RNA (604 nucleotides) under Saccharomyces cerevisiae (brewer's yeast). RNAcentral's name for it is "eukaryotic LSU rRNA". It matches the Rfam family "Eukaryotic large subunit ribosomal RNA", at positions 65 to 664 of the family's 3401-position model. The record is from RNAcentral. Lineage: Eukaryota; Fungi; Ascomycota; Saccharomycetes; Saccharomycetales; Saccharomycetaceae.
CCAACCGGGAUUGCCUUAGUAACGGCGAGUGAAGCGGCAAAAGCUCAAAUUUGAAAUCUGGUACCUUCGGUGCCCGAGUUGUAAUUUGGAGAGGGCAACUUUGGGGCCGUUCCUUGUCUAUGUUCCUUGGAACAGGACGUCAUAGAGGGUGAGAAUCCCGUGUGGCGAGGAGUGCGGUUCUUUGUAAAGUGCCUUCGAAGAGUCGAGUUGUUUGGGAAUGCAGCUCUAAGUGGGUGGUAAAUUCCAUCUAAAGCUAAAUAUUGGCGAGAGACCGAUAGCGAACAAGUACAGUGAUGGAAAGAUGAAAAGAACUUUGAAAAGAGAGUGAAAAAGUACGUGAAAUUGUUGAAAGGGAAGGGCAUUUGAUCAGACAUGGUGUUUUGUGCCCUCUGCUCCUUGUGGGUAGGGGAAUCUCGCAUUUCACUGGGCCAGCAUCAGUUUUGGUGGCAGGAUAAAUCCAUAGGAAUGUAGCUUGCCUCGGUAAGUAUUAUAGCCUGUGGGAAUACUGCCAGCUGGGACUGAGGACUGCGACGUAAGUCAAGGAUGCUGGCAUAAUGGUUAUAUGCCGCCCGUCUUGAAACACGGACCUCCUGUGUGAAGUGAU